CAAACUAUAGCUUAUUUUAAAGCUUUUUAGUUACAUUAAUAAGAAAACAUUUAAUUUUUGUUUAGUUUGA
This 70-nucleotide transfer RNA is filed under the name Nesophrosyne sp. 29 GMB-2012. Its description in RNAcentral is "tRNA-Val". Lineage: Eukaryota; Metazoa; Arthropoda; Insecta; Hemiptera; Cicadellidae. The record is from RNAcentral.